CUGAAGGGAAUGGAGUUAAACCAAUGGAAACAAGACUUGAAUCUAUAUCGACCACCACCAUCCUGAAUCCAUUUAAGAGUAAGAUAAGAUGACACCUCCCUGAAAGGCUGAGUGUCACAACUACCAGGCUUUCCAGUUGGUGUCUAUCUUUGGAGACAGUCAACACCACUCCUGUAAACCUAACGGGGAGACAAGAGGCUACGUUAUGAAGAGAGUAAUGGGAUGACCCUAAACAACCAGAGCUGCUUGAAGGCACUGCACUUCUGUGGUUUAAAAAAAAAAAACUUGUGAAGACAGAAGGAAACUGAAAGAGGAACCACGGGGGCCGGCUGUUUAAAAAAACCGCACCUAUACAACACUAACACUUCAGUAAAAGUGAAAUCUCACCUUCACAAAGCACAGAAACUGACUUAUGAACUCCCCUAAUGAGAUCUCAUCCUAUAAUUGUCACAAACAGUAGGACAAUGGCUUCAACAUGCCAAUUAUAGUUAACUGUUAUUUAAGCCCCAAGGUAAUACCUCUCUCUUGUUAGGCAAGAUGGGUUUGACGCUUAUGUGUUUCAGAUGGACAUUAAACUUGAUAAUAUGAACAUCUUGUUGCACACAUGAUGUAUUUGUCAAACAUCCAGAACAAGGUGUUUAGGACAGAUUUUACUCUCAGCCUAUCAUAAAUCUAAAGCAACUUCAGUGAAAUCAGUAGAGUUAUUCUAAGGAAUGGUAGCAGAGCCCAGACUUUAGGACCCAAUUCCCUAUGUGCACA
This is a long non-coding RNA of Trachemys scripta elegans, 759 nucleotides long. RefSeq lists it as uncharacterized. NCBI's taxonomy places the organism in Eukaryota, Metazoa, Chordata, Testudines, Emydidae. The record is from RefSeq and is a predicted model, not a curated record. The transcript has 3 exons.